AUACGUAGGGGGCGAGCGUUGUCCGAAAUGAUUGGGCGUAAAGGGCACGUAGGCGGCCCGGUAAGUCUGGAGUGAAAGUCCUGUUUUUAAGAUGGGAAUUGCUUUGGAUACUGUCGGGCUUGAGUGCAGGAGAGGUAAGUGGAAUUCCCAGUGUAGCGGUGAAAUGCGUAGAGAUUGGGAGGAACACCAGUGGCGAAGGCGACUUACUGGACUGUAACUGACGCUGAGGCGCGAAAGUGUGGGGAGCAAACAGGAUUAGAUACCCUGGUAGUCCACACUGUAAACGAUGAAUGCUAGGUGUAGGGGGUAUCGACCCCUUCUGUGCCGCAGUCAACACAAUAAGCAUUCCGCCUGGGGAGUACGGCCGCAAGGUUGAAACUCAAAGGAAUUGACGGGG
This 397-nucleotide ribosomal RNA is filed under the name uncultured bacterium. RNAcentral's name for it is "partial 16S ribosomal RNA". It matches the Rfam family "Bacterial small subunit ribosomal RNA", at positions 523 to 918 of the family's 1533-position model. The record is from RNAcentral.